Molecule: long non-coding RNA, 343 nt
Filed under: Capsicum annuum
Lineage: Eukaryota; Viridiplantae; Streptophyta; Magnoliopsida; Solanales; Solanaceae
Description: long non-coding RNA (CANN_LNC016909)
Source: RNAcentral
AUCUCUCAUCCAGAUAAGAAUUUGAAAAAAAUAGAGACAAUGGAAAUGAAGAGGAGCCGAAUCCCCGGAUUUUGUAUUGCAUACCAGUAGUAAUUCUAUCCAUUUGAGGCUAAUCAUAUAUAGAGGUUAUUUAACAAUAUCAUUCUUCCUAAUUUUAACUAUUGGCAUUCAAGUUUUAUAUUAUGUCUUAUUUUCAUAAACUAGUAUUAGUACCUAUGUGAUGUGCAGUUAAUAUUUAAGAAGAAAGAUGACAAUAAAAGAUAGAUAAAAAUUAUUUAAACUUAUAAUUUCACCAACUGAAUAGAACAAUAAAAAAUUUCUUUCAAUUAUUCACCAACAGAUA